UACGGAGGGUGCAAGCGUUAUCCGGAUUCACUGGGUUUAAAGGGUGCGUAGGCGGAUAGGUAAGUCCGUGGUGAAAUCCUGCAGCUUAACUGCAGAACUGCCAUGGAUACUAUUUAUCUUGAAUGUCGUGGAGGUUAGCAGAAUAUGUCAUGUAGCGGUGAAAUGCAUAGAUAUGCCAUAGAACACCAAUUGCGAAGGCAGCUGGCUAGACCUGGAUUGACGCUGAGGCACGAAAGCGUGGGGAGCGAACAGG
This 253-nucleotide ribosomal RNA is filed under the name uncultured bacterium. RNAcentral's name for it is "partial 16S ribosomal RNA". It matches the Rfam family "Bacterial small subunit ribosomal RNA", at positions 524 to 776 of the family's 1533-position model. The record is from RNAcentral.